AGCACCCACUUUUACUUGAGGAACCCCCUCCCGCAUCGGCGACCGUUUGGUGGCACUGUCAGUCAAGAGGGUCUGCCCGCCCAGAUGCUGGUCAUGUGACCCAGGCUAGGCCAAUCAGAUUCCCUCUCCCCGGAACGAGCCCAAAGGGGAUCCUGCAGAGAAGAAAAAAUUGUAAAAGUGCCUUGAAGAGUUUUGUCAGUUCCUGUUGCCUAGAUCUUUGGAGCAGCUCUUUCUAAAGUGCCCUGCAAAAGGAGUCAAGAGGCUGUGCCUCUGGCAUCCCAACCAAACUGGACAUGGAAGCCUGCUGGCAAGACUGUCUUGAGGCUCGCUGUGGCUGCUGCAUGGAGAAAUGGAUGCAGGGCUGCACAAGGACCAAUGAGAGGAGAGGCACAGAGACAGUCAGGAACCCAGUCCGGCCACCACGAGUGACACAAUGAUGGUCCCCAUCGGGGCAGUGGGGAUGCAGAUAGGAGAAGGCUGCAAGACAGAGCUCAGACACUGAUGUAUUGGCUCUGACACAAAUCAGAUAAAAUAAUUUGGACAUCUUAAUGCCAGAGGCCCUUCCAUCAAAUAACAGCCAGCUUUUCAGAGACCACACGUUGGCUCCUGACAGUGACAAAAUUGGUGUCGCCACAGAAGUCCCAGAGCAGGGACUUGGGUAUGUUCCAGUAGAGCAGAGAGGAGAAGGAAAAUGUAUGUUCCUUCCCAAAUGUCCAGCAACAAAUGACUGCCGAGUGAGAAAGAAAUUUAGCCAAAGUGCAGAAGGAUGGUCUGGCCACACUGCAGACCCUUGAGAAGUGAGAUGUUAUUUAUGGAGACAGUGACUUAUUCUCCUAAACAACCAUAAUGUCCUGACCUGUCUGAUUUCCGUGAAAACCUCUAGUUCAACUUCCAAUUUGAAGUUACAAAAAUGAGCAUGGGUCCUUCAGGAAUUCAGAUUUGAUGUGAAGUAUAUCCAAAGACCUGCCAACAGAUGUUACAGCAUCUUGGAAAUGUUCAAGACUCGUGCCUGCUGACAGAAGCGUUAAGUAGAAUCACUGUUCUGAUUUUUUUUAAGCUAGGAUGGGGGAUUGUGCUUGUCCUGGGGUGACCUUCAGGACUCUCCUCUGUUCCUCACAAGAAACAAUAAUCACAGUGAUGAUGCUAAAAACAGAACACAACAUGGGGCGCCUGGAUGGCUCAGUCGGUUGGGCGUCCGACUUCGGCUCAGGUCACGAUCUCGCGGUCCGUGGGUUCGAGCCCCGUGUCAGGCUCUGAGCUGACUGCUCAGAGCCUGGAGCCUGUUUCGGAUUCUGUGUCUCCCUCUCUCUCUGACCCUCCCCCGUUCAUGCUCUGUCUCUCUCUGUCUCAAAAAUAAAUAAAUGUUAAAAAAAAAAAAUUUUUUAAACAGAACACAACAAAGCUCCCACUUCACUUACAUGUACAAUAAUCCUAUAGACUUAUGACCCCCAUUGUUAGAUAUGAAGAAAGUGAAUCUCACGAAGUAAAAUAAUUUACCAGUAUCAUACAAGGAAGCAACAGAGAUGGGUCUAAUACAAAAUCAAAAUCUGAACUGUGGAUCUGCAAACAAUGGCCUGAGGGCAAAACCCCAGCUACCACUUGUUUUUGUAAAUAAAGUUUUAUUGGAACAUA
This is a long non-coding RNA of Neofelis nebulosa (Clouded leopard), 1632 nucleotides long. RefSeq lists it as uncharacterized. The record is from RefSeq and is a predicted model, not a curated record. The transcript is spliced from 3 exons. NCBI's taxonomy places the organism in Eukaryota, Metazoa, Chordata, Mammalia, Carnivora, Felidae.